This 236-nucleotide unclassified non-coding RNA is filed under the name fungal sp. RNAcentral's name for it is "partial contains 5.8S ribosomal RNA, internal transcribed spacer 2, and large subunit ribosomal RNA". Lineage: Eukaryota; Fungi. The record is from RNAcentral.
CGCACAUUGCGCCCUUUGGCAUUCCGAAGGGCAUGCCCGUUCGAGCGUCAUUUCACCAAUCAAGCCUCGCUUGGUAUUGGGCGACGGGUUGAAUCACCCCCGCCUCUAUUUAUCCGGCUGGACGAUUCGAAUCUUAGCGUUGUGAUAAUCAAAUCGCUGAAGAGGACGAUCGGCCGCGCCGUUAAACCCCAUCAAAGGUUGACCUCGGAUCGGGUAGGGAUACCCGCUGAACUUAA